UUACAGAUUCAACUAAUGAGAUGUUUGAGUUGUAGAAGGUGCAGCAUGGCAGCAGAAGAUGUAAAAUUGAGUUGUGAUGAGACAGUUUAAUUCUUUAGAUAUUAAAAAUCUCAAAUGAGAAUUUUCCAAAUGCCCUCAAUAUGUCUGCAAUGUUAUAACAUGCAGAAUUAAGAAUGUACCAGUAUUGUAAUGCCAUUUCCAAUAUUCACAAGUAGUUUCUGAUUGUUAAUUUAGAUAUUUACUUAUUUACCUGAAUUUUUCAUUCAAACAUUUUUCAACAUUUUUGUUAGAUAUAUUUCAAAUUAAGAAUUUAAAAGAAAUCAAUUUUAAAUUUACACAAAAACUUAUGGUUUAGU
This 356-nucleotide long non-coding RNA is filed under the name Mytilus galloprovincialis (Mediterranean mussel). Lineage: Eukaryota; Metazoa; Mollusca; Bivalvia; Mytilida; Mytilidae. The record is from RNAcentral.